This 861-nucleotide ribosomal RNA is filed under the name Phaeodimeriella dilleniae. RNAcentral describes it as "SSU rRNA". It matches the Rfam family "Eukaryotic small subunit ribosomal RNA", at positions 240 to 1105 of the family's 1831-position model. The record is from RNAcentral. Lineage: Eukaryota; Fungi; Ascomycota; Dothideomycetes; Pseudoperisporiaceae.
UCCUUGGUGAUUCAUGAUAACCUCUCAGAUCGCACGGCCUUGCGCCGGGCGACGGUUCAUUCAAAUUUCUGCCCUAUCAACUUUCGAUGGUAAGGUAUUGGCUUACCAUGGUUUCAACGGGUAACGGGGAAUUAGGGUUCGAUUCCGGAGAGCGAGCCUGAGAGACGGCUAGCACAUCCAAGGAAGGCAGCAGGCGCGCAAAUUACCCAAUCCCGACACGGGGAGGUAGUGACAAUACAUACUGAUACAGGGCUCUUUUGGGUCUUGUAAUUGGAAUGAGUACAAUUUAAACCUCUUAACGAGGAACAAUUGGAGGGCAAGUCUGGUGCCAGCAGCCGCGGUAAUUCCAGCUCCAAUAGCGUAUAUUAAAGUUGUUGCAGUUAAAAAGCUCGUAGUUGACCAUUUGGCCUGGCUGGCAGGUCCGUCUCACCGCGUGCACUUGCCCGGCCGGGCCUUUCCUCCUGGAGAACCGCAUGCCCUUCACUGGGCGUGUCGGGGACCAGGACUUUUACUUUGAAAAAAUUAGAGUGUUCAAAGCAGGCCUUUGCUCGGAUACGUUAGCAUGGAAUAAUGGAAUAGGACGUGCGGUCCUAUUUUGUUGGUUUCUAGGACCGCCGUAAUGAUUAAUAGGGACAGUCGGGGGCAUCAGUAUUCAAUUGUCAGAGGUGAAAUUCUUGGAUUUAUUGAAGACUAACUACUGCGAAAGCAUUUGUCAAGGAUGUUUUCAUUAAUCAGUGAACGAAAGUUAGGGGAUCGAAGACGAUCAGAUACCGUCGUAGUCUUAACCAUAAACUAUGCCGACUAGGGAUCGGGCGGUGUUAUUCAUUUGACCCGCUCGGCACCUUGCGAGAAAUCAAAGUG